This 216-nucleotide long non-coding RNA is filed under the name Elaeis guineensis (African oil palm). RNAcentral describes it as "long non-coding RNA (EGUI_LNC052448)". Lineage: Eukaryota; Viridiplantae; Streptophyta; Magnoliopsida; Arecales; Arecaceae. The record is from RNAcentral.
GCAUCUAGGACCCCGUCUGACCAUUUGAUGCUCUGACAGAUCGAGCGAAGCCCACGAAUAAGCUAUCUCGAAUUGGUCUCAAAAAAUACUUUGAAACAAUCUUCUGCAAACUCCCCCAUCAGAAUUGAGUUACAAAGAACGUUAGCAAUCAUAUAAGGCUUAGAAAGAAAAGAGCAUUUUAUUUACAAAGACAUGUUUGCUUGUACAAAGGCGACG